This 432-nucleotide ribosomal RNA is filed under the name uncultured bacterium. RNAcentral's name for it is "partial 16S ribosomal RNA". It matches the Rfam family "Bacterial small subunit ribosomal RNA", at positions 29 to 506 of the family's 1533-position model. The record is from RNAcentral.
AACGAACGCUGGCGGCAUGCCUAACACAUGCAAGUCGAACGAGACCUUCGGGUCUAGUGGCGCACGGGUGCGUAACGCGUGGGAACCUGCCCUUAGGUUCGGAAUAACUCCCCGAAAGGGGUGCUAAUACCGGAUAAUGUCUUCGGACCAAAGAUUUAUCGCCUUUGGAUGGGCCCGCGUUGGAUUAGCUAGUUGGUAGGGUAAAAGCCUACCAAGGCGACGAUCCAUAGCUGGUCUGAGAGGAUGAUCAGCCACACUGGGACUGAGACACGGCCCAGACUCCUACGGGAGGGAGCAGUGGGGAAUAUUGGACAAUGGGCGAAAGCCUGAUCCAGCAAUGCCGCGUGAGUGAUGAAGGCCUUAGGGUUGUAAAGCUCUUUUACCCGGGAUGAUAAUGACAGUACCGGGAGAAUAAGCUCCGGCUAACUCCGU